RNAcentral lists this ribosomal RNA (419 nucleotides) under uncultured rumen bacterium. RNAcentral's name for it is "bacterial SSU rRNA". It matches the Rfam family "Bacterial small subunit ribosomal RNA", at positions 354 to 776 of the family's 1533-position model. The record is from RNAcentral.
GUGGGGGAUAUUGCACAAUGGAGGAAACUCUGAUGCAGCGACGCCGCGUGAGUGAAGAAGUAUUUCGGUAUGUAAAGCUCUAUCAGCAGGGAAGAAAGGCUCGUAAGAGAGAUGACGGUACCUGACUAAGAAGCCCCGGCUAACUACGUGCCAGCAGCCGCGGUAAUACGUAGGGGGCAAGCGUUAUCCGGAUUUACUGGGUGUAAAGGGAGCGCAGACGGUGAUGCAAGUCUGAAGUGAAACCCCACGGCUCAACCGUGGGCUUGCUUUGGAAACUGUAUGACUAGAGUACUGGAGAGGUAAGCGGAAUUCCUAGUGUAGCGGUGAAAUGCGUAGAUAUUAGGAGGAACAUCGGUGGCGAAGGCGGCUUACUGGACAGCAACUGACGUUGAGGCUCGAAGGCGUGGGGAGCAAACAGG